AUAUCCAAAAUCUAAGACGAUAUUUACUCUCAUAUCACGAUAUCGAUAUAAUAUCGAUAUAUUGUCCAGCUCUCUGUACAACUUAGUGCUACACUGGAGAAGGACAUAAAUUUGCACAGACCUUCGAAUUGGUCAUGUUUGCCGGACAAUAUGAAGUUCUUAAGAAUAAUGCCUGCAGCUUACGUCACUUACAUCAAGUAUCACUUUAUUUGUCAUUUCACUGAGUACUUGCAUACACAGAAGAAACAAAAAGUUGUUUCUCAUCAGUCACAGUGCAAUAAAAACGGAAAUAAAUACUUAUAAGUUAAAAAAAAAUAUCAUGUCUAAAAUAGAGCUAAACACAAACAUUCAGACAGAACUGAAUAUAAUACCCCAGCCAGAUGUUUGGCAAGCCCAGGUCUCUAUAUGCUUGAAAAAGAACCACCACAAAGCAGCCAAACUGUAAUUAUCCAAAGUUUGAAUAGAUUUAAAUGGCCACUUUAUAUAAUAAACUAACCAGGGUCAAAUAUUAGGCCGAGGGCACUGUAGCUCCUCAAAGCGAUGUUAUUCCUCCCUUAUGAAAAAUCCGGGGAUCAUUUUUGUUUUCUUCUGCACACCACAGCACCCUUCAAAUAAAGUCUAAAGGCUGCCAUUAAAGUGGAGCAUAUGCAUGUGUAGGCAUGGAGUGGCGUGUGAGGCCCUUACAGGCAGACUGCAGGUCUGUUAGUCAUUACGGGUGAAUGUACUGUACAGUAUACACUGGAGUGGACAUGCAGCUACAUUAAAGUCUCGCCCACGGCCACGUCAGACCACCCCAGAGACACACCACUGGCACUUCCUCCACCCGCUUCCACCGCUCAGCCUUGGGGGGACGCGCGCUUUGGGAUUUCCGGAGGACGCACUGGACAAUAAUUGUCCGUUGAUUAGUAAACUUUCUAGUGAAAAAGAUGGUCAGAUUGCCUUUUAACUGUUUUGUGUUUACAUCUGAUUUUGUCUUCUAUCUGUAGGUGUCCCGUUAGUGCCUCCUGAUGCUUGUGACUCUGUGAAGAUGAAGAUCGUUUUUCUAUGAGAUGCUGUUAUGGCCAGUUUUGAAGUGAAGAUGAAAGACUUUCAAGUUCCUCUGAUUAAUGAGGUGGUGGUAAGGCAAUAAAGCAGAACCUCUGAAAAAAUGAAUGGAAAAAAAACAACCGAACCAUGUUUGCCCUGUGGAUAGUGGACUCAUUCUGCCACUGUCCUGUGUCAUUAUGUCCCUUUGCUGUGUGACCUGUCCUCUGGGGUUUGAGUGAGUGUCCCUGUCCCCUGCUCUGUCUGUCCUCCUUCCUCUACGCCCUGCCUCGUCUUGUCAGCUCAGCUCACGGUCACAGCCCUGCUUGCCUCGGUGAACAUUCAACGCUGUCGGUGAGUUUUGGUAUGGAUCACAUAAAAACCAUCGACCGUUGACUGUGCCCCGAGGCUUGCUCCGACGACGUCGGGAAUGAGCAAAAAAUAAAUAAAAUGAAAUGAGCAAAAGGGCAAGUGGGCGCAUGCAAAAAUCGAGAGACGAAGACGCACACGUACAAAAGUGACACUCUGUUUCCACUGUACCCAAAGACCAAAGGUCACAAUCAACAUUCAUUGCUGUCGCUGGGUUGGACUGUGUAGAAAAGCUCACUGAACAAUGAGUGCAACUGUGGCCCAGAUCUGCCUGACUCGCGUCUCAGCCAAUCGGCCGACCGGAUGCGAAACACUUUGUUUUCUUUAUUUAUAUUACUUCUUGUUUUUCACUUCUAUUUUCUCCCCUCUUCCUCCCUCCCUGGCGCUGAAUAGUCUUCAGGGGAAGAGAGAGAGAGAUAGAGACAUAAAUAGACUUCUGGCGGCUUGCUUGUCCUCAUCCUCCUCUCCUCUAAUUGGUGGUUAUGUGUGCAGCAAGGGGGAAGGAAGCGGAGUGAAUGUGUAAUCAUUUGGAGUCUCUUCUCCUUUAGAUGUUUCAUCCCUCUCUCUUUUUUGUUUGUCUAAUUAUAUACUGAGCUCUGUUAACUCUGUGUUAACUGUGCUGGCAAGAAUGAGCGAGUGACAAAGAGAGGGAGGACAAUGGGGAAACACAAAAAGGUGGAGAGAUUAGAGCACCAGUAAACGUAUUAUCUAGUUUUCAGUAUAUGUAUUCUAAUAUUAUUCCUAAUGUUGCUGCAAAUGUGACCGGAUAUAAGCAUUUAUUUUUUUAAAUGCAGAAAGGAGAUUGUUUUCACCUCUUUGGCUGAGGUCUCAUUGUGUGUGUGUGUGUGUGUGUGUGUGUGUGUGUGUGUGUGUGUGUGUGUGUGUGUGUGUGUGUGUGUGUGUGUGUGUGUGUGUGUGUGUGUGUGUGUGUGUGUGUGUGUGUGUGUGUGUGUGUGUGUGUGUGUGUGUGUGUGUGUGUGUGUGUGUGUGUGUGUGUGUGUGUGUGUGUGUGUGUGUUAUUUUCCUUCUAUCCCCAAGCAGCUUGCUCCCUCAUGGGAAAACACAAGUCUCUAACCUUGUCUUCCUGCAGACAGUGUGGGACCGGCCACGCUGCUGCCAUUUCUCUUUGUACCCAUCUGUAACAACUCUCUGACACUGCGUCCUGUAUCUGUAAUUCAUGGAAUGUAAACACACAGUUGAGAUAUAUGUAGGAAUGCGUUUGGGAAAGUGUGAUAAUUCAUGAAUUAAUUAAAUAAAGUUGAAUCAGAAUCCA
Perca fluviatilis (European perch) is the source of this 2665-nucleotide long non-coding RNA. RefSeq lists it as uncharacterized. The record is from RefSeq and is a predicted model, not a curated record. NCBI's taxonomy places the organism in Eukaryota, Metazoa, Chordata, Actinopteri, Perciformes, Percidae. The transcript has 2 exons.